Non-coding RNA from Epilithonimonas sp., 49 nucleotides. Lineage: Bacteria; Pseudomonadati; Bacteroidota; Flavobacteriia; Flavobacteriales; Weeksellaceae. The record is from Rfam.
UAUCUUUGCACCCGAAUUACAUAAUAAUUAUUAAAACAAUAUUGGAAUG